AGGACGAACGCUGGCGGCGUGCUUAACACAUGCAAGUCGAGCGGAAAGGCUCCUUCGGGGGUACUCGAGCGGCGAACGGGUGAGUAACACGUGAGUAAUCUGCCCUCCACUUUGGGAUAGCCACCGGAAACGGUGAUUAAUACCGGAUAUGACCUCGCAUCGCAUGGUGUGUGGUGGAAAGUUUUUCGGUGGGGGAUGUGCUCGCGGCCUAUCAGCUUGAUGGUGGGUAAUGGCCUACCAUGGCUUCGACGGGUA
RNAcentral lists this ribosomal RNA (255 nucleotides) under uncultured soil bacterium. RNAcentral's name for it is "partial 16S ribosomal RNA". It matches the Rfam family "Bacterial small subunit ribosomal RNA", at positions 26 to 285 of the family's 1533-position model. The record is from RNAcentral.